AUUGAACGCUGGCGGCAUGCUUUACACAUGCAAGUCGAACGGCAGCGCGGGCUUCGGCCUGGCUGCGAGUGGCGAACGGGUGAGUAAUGCAUCGGAACAUGCCCAGUAGUGGUGGCUAGCCCGGCGAAAGCCGGAUUAAUACCCCAUACGACCUGAGGGUGAAAGCGGGGGAGCGAAAGGCCUCGCGCUCUUGGAGCGGCCGAUGUCGGAUUAGCUAGUUGGUGGGGUAAAGGCUUACCAAGGCGACGAUCCGUAGCUGGUCUGAGAGGACGACCAGCCACACUGGAACUGAGACACGGCCCAGACUCCUACGGGAGGCAGCAGUGGGGAAUUUUGGACAAUGGGGGCAAGCCUGAUCCAGCCAUGCCGCGUGCGUGAAGAAGGCCUUCGGGUUGUAAAGCGCUUUUGUUGGGAAAGAAAACCAGUAGGCUAAUACCCCGGGGGGAUGACGGUACCGAAAGAAUAAGCACCGGCUAACUACGUG
RNAcentral lists this ribosomal RNA (484 nucleotides) under uncultured bacterium. RNAcentral describes it as "partial 16S ribosomal RNA". It matches the Rfam family "Bacterial small subunit ribosomal RNA", at positions 29 to 507 of the family's 1533-position model. The record is from RNAcentral.